GAUCAUGGCUCAGAUUGAACGCUGGCGGCAGGCUUAACACAUGCAAGUCGAACGGUAGCAGGUAAGUACUUGUACUUAUGCUGACGAGUGGCGGACGGGUAAGUAAUGCUUGGGGAUCUGGCUUAUGGAGGGGGGAUAACGACGGGAAACUGUCGCUAAUACCGCGUAGAAUCGAGAGAUGAAAGUGUGGGACCUUCGGGCCACAUGCCAUAGGAUGAACCCAAGUGGGAUUAGGUAGUUGGUGGGG
RNAcentral lists this ribosomal RNA (247 nucleotides) under uncultured bacterium. RNAcentral's name for it is "partial 16S ribosomal RNA". It matches the Rfam family "Bacterial small subunit ribosomal RNA", at positions 15 to 257 of the family's 1533-position model. The record is from RNAcentral.